This 397-nucleotide ribosomal RNA is filed under the name uncultured bacterium. RNAcentral's name for it is "partial 16S ribosomal RNA". It matches the Rfam family "Bacterial small subunit ribosomal RNA", at positions 523 to 918 of the family's 1533-position model. The record is from RNAcentral.
AUACGUAGGUGGCAAGCGUUGUCCGGAAUUAUUGGGCGUAAAGCGCGCGCAGGUGGUUCCUUAAGUCUGAUGUGAAAGCCCCCGGCUCAACCGGGGAGGGUCAUUGGAAACUGGGGAACUUGAGUGCAGAAGAGGAUAGUGGAAUUCCAAGUGUAGCGGUGAAAUGCGUAGAGAUUUGGAGGAACACCAGUGGCGAAGGCGACGGUCUGGUCUGUAACUGACACUGAGGCGCGAAAGCGUGGGGAGCAAACAGGAUUAGAUACCCUGGUAGUCCACGCCGUAAACGAUGAGUGCUAAGUGUUGGGGGGUUUCCGCCCCUCAGUGCUGCAGCUAACGCAUUAAGCACUCCGCCUGGGGAGUACGGUCGCAAGACUGAAACUCAAAUGAAUUGGCGGGG